This 511-nucleotide ribosomal RNA is filed under the name uncultured soil bacterium. RNAcentral's name for it is "bacterial SSU rRNA". It matches the Rfam family "Bacterial small subunit ribosomal RNA", at positions 26 to 527 of the family's 1533-position model. The record is from RNAcentral.
AGAUUGAACGCUGGCGGCAUGCCUAACACAUGCAAGUCGAACGGGAGUAGCAAUACUCUAGUGGCGGACGGGUGAGGAAUACGUAGGAAUUUGCCCUUAAGUGGGGGAUAACCCGGGGAAACCCGGAUUAAUACCGCAUGACCUCGAAAGAGCAAAGUGGGGGAUCGCAAGACCUCACGCUUUUGGAGAAGCCUACGUCGGAUUAGCUAGUUGGUGAGGUAAUGGCUCACCAAGGCGACGAUCCGUAACUGGUCUGAGAGGAUGAUCAGUCACACCGGAACUGAGACACGGUCCGGACUCCUACGGGAGGCAGCAGUGGGAAUAUGGACAAUGGGCGCAAGCCUGAUCCAGCAAUGCCGCGUGUGUCGAAGAAGGCCUUCGGUUGGUUAAACGCUAACGUUUAAGUUAGGGAAAGAAAAAACGUACGACUACUAACAACAGUGAGUCUUGACGGUACCGAACGAGAAUAAGCACCGGACUAACUCUGUGCCUAGCCAGCCGACGUAACUCG